CCUACGGGAGGCAGCAGUGGGGAAUAUUGCACAAUGGGGGAAACCCUGAUGCAGCGACGCCGCGUGAGUGAAGAAGUAAUUCGUUAUGUAAAGCUCUAUCAGCAGGGAAGAAAAUGACGGUACCUGAGUAAGAAGCACCGGCUAACUACGUGCCAGCAGCCGCGGUAAUACGUAGGGGGCAAGCGUUAUCCGGAUUUACUGGGUGGAAAGGGAGCGUAGACGGCAGUGCAAGUCUGGAGUGAAAGGCGGGGGCUCAACCCCCGGACUGCUCUGGAAACUGUACGGCUGGAGUGCAGGAGAGGUAAGUGGAAUUCCUAGUGUAGCGGUGAAAUGCGUAGAUAUUAGGAGGAACACCAGUGGCGAAGGCGGCUUACUGGACUGUAACUGACGUUGAGGCUCGAAAGCGUGGGGAGCAAACAGGAUUAGAUACCCUUGUAGUC
This 440-nucleotide ribosomal RNA is filed under the name uncultured bacterium. Its description in RNAcentral is "partial 16S ribosomal RNA". It matches the Rfam family "Bacterial small subunit ribosomal RNA", at positions 338 to 795 of the family's 1533-position model. The record is from RNAcentral.